This 66-nucleotide transfer RNA is filed under the name Georissa bangueyensis. RNAcentral's name for it is "tRNA-Gln". Lineage: Eukaryota; Metazoa; Mollusca; Gastropoda; Cycloneritida; Hydrocenidae. The record is from RNAcentral.
UUAUGAGAAGUGUUAUGCACUAAGAGCUUUGAUUUCUUAAGAGGAAGCUAAUACUUCCCUUAUAAA